This 470-nucleotide ribosomal RNA is filed under the name Shouchella clausii. RNAcentral's name for it is "bacterial SSU rRNA". It matches the Rfam family "Bacterial small subunit ribosomal RNA", at positions 21 to 482 of the family's 1533-position model. The record is from RNAcentral. Lineage: Bacteria; Bacillati; Bacillota; Bacilli; Caryophanales; Bacillaceae.
GGCUCAGGACGAACGCUGGCGGCGUGCCUAAUACAUGCAAGUCGAGCGGACAGAUAAGGAGCUUGCUCCUUUGACGUUAGCGGCGGACGGGUGAGUAACACGUGGGCAACCUGCCCCUUAGACUGGGAUAACUCCGGGAAACCGGAGCUAAUACCGGAUAAUCCCUUUCUCCACCUGGAGAGAGGGUGAAAGAUGGCUUCGGCUAUCACUAAGGGAUGGGCCCGCGGCGCAUUAGCUAGUUGGUAAGGUAACGGCUUACCAAGGCAACGAUGCGUAGCCGACCUGAGAGGGUGAUCGGCCACACUGGGACUGAGACACGGCCCAGACUCCUACGGGAGGCAGCAGUAGGGAAUCUUCCGCAAUGGACGAAAGUCUGACGGAGCAACGCCGCGUGAGUGAGGAAGGCCUUCGGGUCGUAAAGCUCUGUUGUGAGGGAAGAAGCGGUACCGUUCGAAUAGGGCGGUACCUGA